AGUGAACGCUGGCGGUAGGCCUAACACAUGCAAGUCGAACGGCAGCACAGUAAGAGAUUGCUCUUACGGGUGGCGAGUGGCGGACGGGUGAGGAAUACAUCGGAAUCUACUUUUUAGUGGGGGAUAAAGUAGGGAAACUUACGCUAAUACCGCAUACGACCUACGGGUGAAAGCAGGGGAUCUUCGGACCUUGCGCGAUUGAAUGAGCCGAUGUCGGAUUAGCUAGUUGGCGGGGUAAAGGCCCACCAAGGCGACGAUCCGUAGCUGGUCUGAGAGGAUGAUCAGCCACACUGGAACUGAGACACGGUCCAGACUCCUACGGGAGGCAGCAGUGGGGAAUAUUGGACAAUGGGCGCAAGCCGGAUCCAGCCAUACCGCGUGGGUGAAGAAGGCCUUCGGGUUGUAAAGCCCUUUUGUUGGGAAAGAAAAGCAGCAGGUUAAUACCCCGCUGUUCUGACGGUACCCAAAGAAUAAGCACCGGCUAACUUCGUG
This 492-nucleotide ribosomal RNA is filed under the name uncultured bacterium. RNAcentral describes it as "partial 16S ribosomal RNA". It matches the Rfam family "Bacterial small subunit ribosomal RNA", at positions 29 to 507 of the family's 1533-position model. The record is from RNAcentral.